AAAAAGAAAUGAGAAAUGAUAAGUCUCCUGGUGUAGUGGUGUUUAAUUACAAUCCAAGCCCUUUGAAAACUCAAUCAAGAUUGCCGAUUAGAACAGAAGAAAUUGAACUUUGGCCAUCUUUUCAUUUUCAAUAGGAAACUUGAUCUUUUUUUUGUUUUCCUAUUUCAUUUUCCAUUUCUCUAGAGUCUAGAUAUGCCAAAUAAUUUGUGUACUUAUACUGAUAAUCAAGUUUUCAAAUUGUUAAACUUGCUUGAGAAGAUAACCAUAUCACCAUAUAUCCAUCCAUAUAAUCUCUCAUAAACCUUCUUUCUUAGCUUUAUAGCGAAUCUAAUUGCUGCACACAAAGAUAUUUCUCAUAACCUUUCCUAAAAUGUUUUAUAUAUAAAUAUUUCAGACACAUUUGUUUGGGCGUCUAAAGUACAAUUGGGAAAUAGAUAUUGAAACAUGGAUUUAAAAGAGGUGAGAAUUGAGGGAAAGUGUAGUGAAUAUGGACUAAUAUGCAGUGAUAUUUUGAGUUAGAUCAUUAACAUACCAUAAGGCAUUUCUACGGUCAGGAUGGAGAGAGCAUCAAUAUAUUUGCAGAUAAGUAGUUUUGCUGUCAAUUCUUCUUACAUACGAUCAUGGCUUGAUCUAUUGCCAGUAUCACCUCAUAUGGAACCUUCUCUCUCGAAGGACAAUGCAUUCAUCAUGGCACUUAAAAAGGUACUAGCAAAUGUACAUACUGUAGAAGUCUCACAGGCAAAACAGAUCAUCUUUGUUACUUUAUUUAACUGCUCAUUACAAGUUGGUUAUGGUUCUUGAUGGCAUCAAGGUCAACAAGAAGUCUCACAUGCAAAACAGAUCAUCUUUGUUACUUUACCGGACAAUCACAAGCGAUAUUAUAUCUAUCUAGCAUAUAUUGGAGUCUAUCUAGUGUAUAUAAGAAACUUCUAUCUGGUUAAAGAAACAGUGUGAAGUCUGACUAAAUUAGGAGGAAAAUGGUGGUGCAGAUUGUAUUUAUAAUUCUCAUGAGAAAUGAUAUUUGAGUGUAUUUGUAGAUGACGCUACUUAUUCUUCUCCCAUUCCUAUUGGCCAAAAUUGAUAUCGCUACUGUUAAAAUCACUUGAAAUCUUCAA
Long non-coding RNA from Erigeron canadensis, 1115 nucleotides. RefSeq lists it as uncharacterized. The record is from RefSeq and is a predicted model, not a curated record. The transcript is spliced from 3 exons. Lineage: Eukaryota; Viridiplantae; Streptophyta; Magnoliopsida; Asterales; Asteraceae.